UACGUAGGUGACAAGCGUUGUCCGGAUUUACUGGGCGUAAAGAGCGCGCAGGCGGUCGAUCAAGUCGAGUGUGAAAGCCCCCGGCUCAACUGGGGAGGGUCAUUCGAUACUGAUCGACUCGAAGGCAGGAGAGGGUAGUGGAAUUCCCGGUGUAGUGGUGAAAUGCGUAGAUAUCGGAAGGAACAUCAGUGGCGAAAGCGACUUCCUGGACCAGUACCGACGUUCAGGCACGAAAGCGUGGGGAGCAAACAGG
This 253-nucleotide ribosomal RNA is filed under the name uncultured bacterium. RNAcentral describes it as "partial 16S ribosomal RNA". It matches the Rfam family "Bacterial small subunit ribosomal RNA", at positions 524 to 776 of the family's 1533-position model. The record is from RNAcentral. RNAcentral also lists the same sequence under 1 other name.